UCUCUCUCUCUCUCUCUCGCCGCCCGCCGCUCUCCCUGUAUAUAUGUUGAUUGUAGGAAAGGGAAAAAAUUAAAGAAAAGACAGGCAACGACGGUCAGGGGAAAAAAUUGCUGCACAAUGGAAACUAAUAAAAGAGAAAGAACUGCUAGCUAUCUAGCUGCACACAAUGACAUAAUAGCAAAUGAGAUUGCCUACCUCUCUAUCCCUAGGAGUAGCAGGAGAGUGGCGGUGACGUCCUCUGUUGAGAGGAAUUCCACGAGAGCUUGGGUGAGAGCUGAAAUCUCUUGAUCCCUCUCUUUCUCUACGUGUGAAUUGAACUCAACCAAACUAGUUGUAGGUCUUUUGCGGGCAGUAGUUGGUGGGCGAUUGGCGAUGGAGCUGGUGUGGAUGUCCCCCGUCUCUCUCUCUCUCUCUGCCAUUUAUAGCCUCCACGAGCAGCCAUCCGUGAUAAUGCGCUGACCUGGCACCCCUUGGUUAUUUUUGACCCGGCGUUAGCUCGCGAGCUACCUU
This 510-nucleotide long non-coding RNA is filed under the name Elaeis guineensis (African oil palm). RNAcentral's name for it is "long non-coding RNA (EGUI_LNC030188)". Lineage: Eukaryota; Viridiplantae; Streptophyta; Magnoliopsida; Arecales; Arecaceae. The record is from RNAcentral.